UUGAUAUAAUUUCGGCUGGAACCAUGUAUAAAUAGUAGGGCAAAAAUCUUGUAAAGGGCAAGUGAAUUCAUGUAAAAGCUCAUGACACAAUUACACUUUCUCAACAUAUUUUGUGAUUUCUUUCGAUAAAAAAUUCCCUUUUUUCUUAAAGUUGGCUUAAAAUUAGCCUUGUGAAUUUUGACGUCAACAGAAUCCAUGAAAAUUUAAUACAAAUUAAACCAAUCUCAAAACAUGUUCAUAAGAAUAAGAAAUCUAAAUCUAGAAUUGUUUAACAAUGAAAGAACAUAUUUAAGCAAGAAAAGACAUGAAAAUUCCCAAAUCUAAUCGAGUUCCUUCGUGGCUUCACCAAUAAGUUUAGUUCUCCAUGAAUUUCUUGAGCCAAAAAUCAAAGAAAAGUGAUAGAGAAUGAAUAAUAGACAUUCUGGUUGAGAUUAGGGUUUAAAACGUGUGAAAACCGUGUUUCCAUAAGUGGUUGAGUCGAUUAAGGAAACAUAAAUUUUGGCCUCAAGGAAUAACCAUGCGACCGCAUGGUUAUAAGUGUUGUAGUCACAUGGUAGAAACAUUUUGGCCUCUGGAAUUCCCUGGAGGUGCUAGUGCGACCGCAUGGUUAUUGUCAUUUUCUCCGCCUGACAACUUUUAGUAUUUUAGCCAUAACUUUUCCUUCUGAUAUCCGAUUGAGAUGAUUCAAGUUGCAUUUGAAAGAUAUCUCAAAGGGAUACAACUCUGAUUCAGACAUCAUCUUCUAGAUCGAUCAUUUUCCAUAUCAAAAAUAGGUCUAAAUAUAAGGCUGAAAAUCGAUGCGCAACUUUUUUGAUUAGGAAUUGAUAUGUGAAUAUGUUAUGAUCAUAUUUCACUUCCUUUGACUUCUAAUUGCACCCAAUUGACCCUUAGCAUUCUUGAAUCAUCAUUCCAUCGGUCAUCUCAUCUUUGAAUUAUUUUCAACUUCGUCCCUGAACUUUCGCUUUCUUUCAUUUUGGUCCCUUUUCGCUUGUUUUUUCCGAAUUUCAUCUUUUUCACCAAAACGCAACCUAAAACAUAGGAGUAAUGAGUGCAUUUUAACAUAAUAUAAUUGCAUAAUGCAAUAAUUAAAAGGAAAAAAUAUCAUAUUUUACACUCUUAUCACAUAUACAAUUUCCAUUCCACCAUCUUUCAUGUUAGAGUUCGGCACAUUGGGCACACUAACAUCAAAAUCCAACCUAUUUUCCUCUUUCUGAUCAUUAAAAUCAAAUCAAUGUUGAUAUCAAAGUCCCAUUUGUUCUCACCAUUCACAUGAAGAAGACUUGAAUACACAACAAAAUUAGAGAAACCUCAUUUCCAACAAAGAAAUCAUUUUGAUUCAUUGCUCCAACACCCACUUCUCCAUUUUUAAUAUCACACCCUCUUUUCCACCACCCAUUGUCUCAAAACUCCUGUAGUUUUCACCAAUCCCAUCAAAACACCUAAACUUCUUAAAUCCCAACAUUUCGUUUCUCCUUCAGAAUUUUCACUAACUCUCUUCAUCUAAGUCAUGAAAAUUGAAAAGUGAAUCAAAACUCAGCAAAAUUCAAGGACUUUGUUUAAAUCAUAGAAAAAAUUCUUAGGUGCAAACCCCUGCAUUAGAAAACCUUUCUUAAACCCAACUUCUCAUUUCCUAUGUAAAUAAUCAUACAUGAAUUAACCUUAGAUAAAUCAAUU
This 1674-nucleotide long non-coding RNA is filed under the name Olea europaea subsp. europaea. The record is from RNAcentral. Lineage: Eukaryota; Viridiplantae; Streptophyta; Magnoliopsida; Lamiales; Oleaceae.